UACGAAGUGGGCUCGCGUUGUUCGGAAUUACUGGGCGUAAAGCGCGCGUAGGCGGUUUUGCAAGCCAGAGGUGAAAUGCCUGAGCUUAACUUAGGAAUUGCCUUUGGGACUGCGAGGCUUUGAGGACGAGAGAGGUGAGUGGAAUUCCCAGUGUAGAGGUGAAAUUCGUAGAUAUUGGGAAGAACACCGGUGGCGAAGGCGGCUUCCUGGCCUGCAACUGACGCUGAGACGCGAAAGCGUGGGGAGCGAACUGG
Molecule: ribosomal RNA, 254 nt
Filed under: uncultured bacterium
Lineage: Bacteria
Description: partial 16S ribosomal RNA
Rfam family: Bacterial small subunit ribosomal RNA
Source: RNAcentral